GGACCCGCACAAGCGGUGGAGCAUGUGGUUUAAUUCGAUGCAACGCGAAGAACCUUACCUGGUCUUGACAUCCUGCGAACUUUCUAGAGAUAGAUUGGUGCCUUCGGGAACGCAGUGACAGGUGCUGCACGGCUGUCGUCAGCUCGUGUUGUGAAAUGUUGGUUAAGUCCCGCAACGAGCGCAACCCCUAUUGAUAGUUACCAUCAUUAAGUUGGGUACUCUAUUGAGACUGCCGCUGACAAGGCGGAGGAAGGUGGGGACGACGUCAAGUCAUCAUGGCCCUUACGACCAGGGCUACACACGUGCUACAAUGGGUAUUACAGAGGGCUGCGAAGGUGCGAGCUGGAGCG
This 350-nucleotide ribosomal RNA is filed under the name uncultured bacterium. RNAcentral describes it as "bacterial SSU rRNA". It matches the Rfam family "Bacterial small subunit ribosomal RNA", at positions 917 to 1269 of the family's 1533-position model. The record is from RNAcentral.